Populus trichocarpa (black cottonwood) is the source of this 1210-nucleotide long non-coding RNA. RefSeq lists it as uncharacterized. NCBI's taxonomy places the organism in Eukaryota, Viridiplantae, Streptophyta, Magnoliopsida, Malpighiales, Salicaceae. The transcript has 2 exons. The record is from RefSeq and is a predicted model, not a curated record.
CUAGCAUUUGGGUGGUUAGUUUCCUUGAUCACAUCUUCGUGGCUCAAUUGAGAAGCAACAAAUUUGUCAAGCACUCUCCAGUCUGUGACUUGAUCAACUGCUUGCUCAUGAUUGCUGUUGUUGUUACCAUAGAUGGCCAUAUGCAGCAUUGAUGGAAUUGCAACUUAAUGUAGGAGCCGAUUGCAGAAGUUUAGGACUUUGUAGAAGUGGGAGCUGGAGGAAGUGAUCAUGAGGGAUUUGGUACUGAAAAUCCAGCUCUUUCUUGCAGGAGUAAGGGAAUUGAUAACCUAAGUCAGGCUGGAAGUUUUGCUUUGGUGAAUCCAAGUCAUGCAUGAAUGCAACUUGAUCAUCAUACCAGCAAACUGAUUCAUGCUCACUCACUUUUGGCAUCGUUGGUAUUCUCUUCUUGAACACCCUGCACACAACCCAACCUUCUUCCUGCAACAAAAUUACAUAUAAAAAAAAACUUUCACACUUGAAAAAAAUUGUGCAGCUAUGGUUAAGACUUAAAAAUUAAUGGCUUGCAAGAAAACACUAAAUGAAGAAAUUUUUAUGAUUAUACUUGCCUGUGGAGUCCCAUUUUCAUCUGUUUCAAGUCUGUACUCAUGCAUAAUCCAGUCCGAUUUCUGUCCAUUCGGAGCUCGACCUUUAUAAAAGACUAAGGUCUUCCUCAUUCCGAUCAAGUCGUGCUUCGAAUAAAUUGCCUUGUCUCUACCUGUUGCUUUCCAAAAUCCUGCAACAGUGGCUCUAUUUGUGCGAGUCCCAGUAGGAUACUUCUUAUCUUUGUGGCUAAAAAAGUACCAUUCAUUUUGCUCCUCGGUUCCUAUUCGGCACAGUUCUGUUUAUAUGCAAAAGAAACAUAUAAUAGUUAGUGAACUUUCAUGGUCUCCAAAUAUUCUUGAAAUAGGGUAUUUACAAGAAUUUUAUGCAGUACUACCUUGAAGAUCCCAUGGCUCAAUCUUGUAAAGCUCGACAUCCUUAAUGACAUCUAGGUCAAUCCUUCUUGAAUUUACUUUUUUUCUAAGGUAGUAAUGGACAAGUUCUUCAUCGGUAGGAUGGAAUCGAAAACCAGGAGGAACGUGUGUAAAAGAAUUCAUUUUCUGAUCCUGCUAGGCCUUGAGUCCUGCAAUCCAAUUAUCACGCCACAUUAGCAUGUGCAUAUUUUUAUCCAAUUAUCAAAUUUAUACAAGAAGAAAAUCCAUUUUCAUAA